UACGUAGGUGGCAAGCGUUAUCCGGAAUUACUGGGCGUAAAGCGCACGCAGGCGGCUAGGCAAGUUCGACGUGAAAGCUCCCGGCUUAACUGGGAGAGGUCGUUGAAAACUGCCAAGCUUGAGGCAAUGAGAGGGGUGUAGAAUUCCCGGUGUAGUGGUGGAAUGCGUAGAUAUCGGGGGGAAUACCAGUGGCGAAAGCGGCACCCUAGCGUUGUUCUGACGCUCAUGUGCGAAAGCGUGGGGAGCGAACGGGAUUAGAUACCCCCGUAGUCC
Molecule: ribosomal RNA, 273 nt
Filed under: uncultured bacterium
Lineage: Bacteria
Description: partial 16S ribosomal RNA
Rfam family: Bacterial small subunit ribosomal RNA
Source: RNAcentral